AUACGUAUGUCGCAAGCGUUAUCCGGAUUUAUUGGGCGUAAAGAGUGAGCAGGCGGUUAAUUAAGUCUGAGGUUAAAGCGUGGGGCUCAACCCCAUAAAGCCUUGGAAACUGAUUGACUAGAGUACGGGAGAAGUGAAGGGAACUCCAUGUGUAGCGGUGAAAUGCGUAGAUAUAUGGAAGAACACCAGUGUCGAAGGCGCUUCACUAGCCCGAAACUGACGCUCAGUCACGAAAGCGUGGGUAGCAAAUAGGAUUAGAUACCCUAGUAGUCCACGCUGUAAACGAUGACAACUAAAUAUUGCCGCGAGGCAGUGUUGAAGCUAACGCAUUAAGUUGUCCGCCUGGGGAGUACGGUCGCAAGACUGAAACUUAAAUGAAUUGGCGGGG
Molecule: ribosomal RNA, 388 nt
Filed under: uncultured bacterium
Lineage: Bacteria
Description: partial 16S ribosomal RNA
Rfam family: Bacterial small subunit ribosomal RNA
Source: RNAcentral